ACUGAGACACGGCCCAGACUCCUACGGGAGGCAGCAGUGGGGAAUUUUCCGCAAUGGGCGAAAGCCUGACGGAGCAAUACCGCGUGAGGGAGGAAGGCCUUUGGGUUGUAAACCUCUUUUCUCAGGGAAGAAGAUCUGACGGUACCUGAGGAAUAAGCAUCGGCUAACUCCGUGCCAGCAGCCGCGGUAAUACGGAGGAUGCAAGCGUUAUCCGGAAUCAUUGGGCGUAAAGCGUCCGCAGGUGGUUUUUCAAGUCUGCUGUUAAAGACUGGAGCUCAACUCCGGAAAGGCAGUGGAAACUGAGAAACUAGAGUUCGGUAGGGGUAGCGGGAAUUCCCAGUGUAGCGGUGAAAUGCGUAGAUAUUGGGAAGAACAUCGGUGGCGAAGGCGCGCUACUGGACCGAAACUGACACUCAGGGACGAAAGCUAGGGGAGCGAAAGGGAUUAGAUACCCCUGUAGUCCUAGCUGUAAACGAUGGAAACUAGGUGUGGCUUGUAUCGACCCGAGCCGUGCCGUAGCUAACGCGUUAAGUUUCCCGCCUGGGGAGUACGCACGCAAGUGUGAAACUCAAAGGAAUUGACGGGGGCCCGCACAAGCGGUGGAGUAUGUGGUUUAAUUCGAUGCAACGCGAAGAACCUUACGAGGGCUUGACAUGUCGCGAAUCUCCUUGAAAGGGGAGAGUGCCUUCGGGAGCGCGAACACAGGUGGUGCAUGGCUGUCGUCAGCUCGUGUCGUGAGAUGUUGGGUUAAGUCCCGCAACGAGCGCAACCCUCGUCUUUAGUUGCCAGCAUUAAGGUGGGCACUUUAGAGAGACUGCCGGUGACAAACCGGAGGAAGGUGGGGAUGACGUCAAGUCAGCAUGCCCCUUACGCCCUGGGCUACACACGUACUACAAUGGUUGGGACAAAGGGCAGCGACCCCGCGAGGGAAAGCGAAUCUCAUCAAACCCAGCCUCAGUUCAGAUUGCAGGCUGCAACUCGCCUGCAUGAAGGAGGAAUCGCUAGUAAUCGCAGGUCAGCAUACUGCGGUGAAUUCGUUCCCGGGCCUUGUACACACCGCCCGUCACACCAUGGAAGCUGGUCACGCCCGAAGUAGUUACCCUAACCUUUCGGGGGGGGGGACUCCUAAGGCAGGGCUAGUGACUGGGGUGAAGUCGUAACAAGGUAGCCGUACCGGAAGGUGUGGCUG
This 1189-nucleotide ribosomal RNA is filed under the name metagenome. RNAcentral describes it as "bacterial SSU rRNA". It matches the Rfam family "Bacterial small subunit ribosomal RNA", at positions 318 to 1520 of the family's 1533-position model. The record is from RNAcentral.